AUGUUUCUUUCCAAAAAAGGCGCAGAAGAAGCACAAUGGCAUGAGCUAAAGAGGCAGCCCAAUGAGAAGGAACUGAGUCAUCCAAAAGACGGUGAUGCGUGGAAAGAUUUCGAUGAAAAUUUUCUAGAAUUUGCAGAAGAUGACAGAAACUCUAGGCUUGGCAUUGCCACUGAUGGGUUCAAUCCUUUUGGAAAUUUUAACACAACCUAUAGUAUGUGGCUUGUAUUUGUUAUACCAUACAACCUUCCACCUUGGGCAUGCAUGGAUCAGUCAAAUUUUAUGAUGGCUCUGCUGAUUCCAGGUCCCAAAUCACCUGGCAAGCACUUUGAUGUCUUUCUACAACCACUUAUAGAAGAAUUACUUGAGCUCUGGGAGGGUGUGCGUACAUAUGAUGCUCUUAGUGGAAAGAUGUUUGAUCUUCAUGCUGCAGUUCUAUGGUGCAUUCACGAUUACCCAGCUCUGAGCACUCUUUCAGGGCGUACCACAAGAGGCUAUUUUGCAUGUAUUCAUUGUGACAAACACCCUCUUUCUUACAACCUAAGGAGUAAAAUUGGGUAUAUUGGUCACUAUCGUUUCCUUCCAAGGGGUCAUCGUUUGCGGAGAAACAAUGAAUUUGUUGGUCUUCAUGAAAGCAAUGAUGAGCCGGGUAAAUUCUCUGAGAAAGAGUUGCAAGCAGAAUUGGAGAAGGUUAGACCUGGGAGACAACAAGAAAGUAGGAAAAGGAAGCGUUCUGACUUGGGCAGCAAGAAGUAUCAUGUGCCAAUUUGGGGCCGGAGGGUUUGUUUGUGGGAUUUGAAGUAUUGGGCAAAGGUGAAGCCGAGACACAAUCUUGAUGUCAUGCAUAUUGAGAAAAACAUUUGUGAAAACCUCAUUGGGACAAUUCUGAAUCUGGAGGGUAAGACAAAGGACACACUUAAUGCUAGGAUUGAUCUCAAAGAUUUGAAUAUUAAAGAGGAGUUGCAAUUGAGGAAGGAGGGAGACUCAUAUGUGAUGCCUCGGGCCCGAUAUACCUUGUCCAAAGAACAAGUUGUUGCAUUUUGUCAAUUUUUACGAGAGUUAAAGUUUCCAGAUGGGUUUGCUUCCAACAUCUCAAGAUGCACAAGUGCUGAUGGAACCAAGGUACAAGGCCUGAAAACACAUGAUUGUCACAUUCUUCUGCAGAGAAUCUUACCUGCCGGCAUGAGAGGAUUUUUGGACAGUGAUAUAUAUGAAGCAAUAGCUGAGUUAGGCAAUGUUUUCAGAGAACUGUGCAGCAAAACUCUUAAUAGGGAUGUCUUGGCCGAAAUGAAGAAGGAAAUCCCUGUAAUUUUGUGCAAGCUUGAGAAAAUUUUCCCGCCUGCAUUCUUUGAUGUGAUGGUGCACCUUGUCGUACAUUUACCUGAAGAGGCAUUGCUUCGAGGUCCCGUACAAUAUGGGUGGAUGUACCCAGUUGAAAGAAGGCUAUAUACUUUAAAGGGCUAUGUGAGGAAUAGGGCGCGACCAGAAGGUUCGAUUGCUGAGGCAUAUAUUGCAGAUGAAUGCCUGACAUUUUGCUCCAGGUCCACAAUCCUAUGA
Molecule: ribosomal RNA, 1554 nt
Filed under: Triticum aestivum (bread wheat)
Lineage: Eukaryota; Viridiplantae; Streptophyta; Magnoliopsida; Poales; Poaceae
Description: partial small subunit ribosomal RNA
Source: RNAcentral